GUCGGAGCAUCUCUACCUAGCUCCAUAUCCCUCAGACAAGGAGCUCCAGAGAAGGGCUGGUGCUGCUCCCCAGCCUGGCUCCCUAAGGGACUGUAGGAACACAGUCUUUUGCUGACUCCCAAAAGCCACGUGCCAGGCCUCCAGUUCCUCCUGUGUGUCAGGAACAGUUCUGGGGAUUCAGCUGUGAACACGAGUCAACGAUCUUCCCCAUGUCGAGCUUAUCUUCCAAUGGAGAAGAAGAGGAGUGAUCACACUUAAUAGGAAAAACAAGCAGGAAAUAAAAGCAAAAACACAAAUCCAGCAUCACUGUGAAGGGGAAGGCAAGCUGAAGAGUACCACAUAAGAAGGACUCACUGGAAGCCAUUAUUUUAUGAAGGGAGCUGGUUAAAGAAUGAUGGCAACCUUGGAAUAUUAUGCUAUAGAAGACCUACUGCUUUCUAGAAAAUGCUUUCCUGUUUUACAUAUGCCAUAACCCCAUAUGUGGGUGUUGGCACUUGGUGUUUUAGAUGAUGAAUAAUAAAACAUACUACAUCAAGUCAAUGCUCAUUUCCAUCACUCUAAUGGAGUGUUGGGCAUUAUUGUGAUAAUAUCCUUAAAAUAACUGAGUAAAAAACAAAAAAAUCUUCCAACCACAGCCAGUUAACUUCCCUAUAUAAAAAAUGUAGGUUCUUUUUUUAUUAGGCUACAAAACUAUUUCAAGCAAAUGGAAACCAAACGUGUACCAAAAAAGAGCCCAUGUGUAUUUUCAAACUGUUGUACCUCAAUGGUUCAUGCCUUUGGGCUCUAGAGCAAAGAGCAGCCAAGUCUCCCUCCUCCCUUUGUGCCUUUAGGAGGGAAUAAAAUACAUACCUGUUGAGAACAUGUUUGUAUGAUUGUAUUAAGCAAGUGACAUAUUAAUAGUCCCAAAUGUUUUGAAUAGAACCAUUUUAAUAUUAGAUUAAAAACUACCAAAAUAGUAAAUACAUGAUCGUUAAGCUCCAAAUACUCUGCUUAUUGGAAGAGAGCAUUUAAAAAAAAAUAGAGAGGUUAAUCGUAUUUUUAAGAGCCCUGAGAUGUGGACUUCUCUGAUUUCUUGAUGUCUGAUGAGCAAAGACCUGUGAGUCUCCUAAUCACUAAUGCCAAUGGAAUUUAAUGCUCUAAAAUUAAAAUUUCCCUUUUAAGUCAAUAGGUACUCCUCUUAUACCAAGAAGUUCUGAGGGGUAAGAAAUGUAUGAGAAUAUGACCAGGACAGACAAUAAUCAAGGAAAAGGAGUAGAUCCCACAUAGGCACACACACAUCAAAGCCCACACUCACAUAUACAUAUCCACGAGCACAGACACUCAACUUGUAAGCUUAAGUUCGUAUCAUGUCAAACAUCAGAGGGGUUUAAAUUUUUAUUUUCAAGCCAGUGCCCAGGGAUGGGCAUCUCCAGGGAGCUGAGGAUUAGCAUGAGGCAGCCCUGCCGGCCAUGCCUACAUCCCCACAGGCACAGGACAAGCCAAAGCCUUUGUUGUAUGUUGGCAAUGCACUUUUAUGAAUGUAAUUUCUAUUGCUGUUUUUAGCCUUUUCACAUCACGUAAUGUGAGGCCUUAUACUUGUUAAAAAAUUUAUUUUCAAAAUUGAGAAAAAUGGUAUUCAAUGGCCGAUGUUUUGAAGAAAGUUUCUUGAAUUUCCUUGUAUGUUACUCCUUGAGUCCUUCCUGCUCUCGGAAUUCAUAUAAUGCUAUGUUCUUGGCAAGCUGGGCUGCUGUGGCAAACACAGUGUAAUCAAUAAAUGAAAAAUUAAAUGCCCUAUUAUGGGCAAAGCAGGCCUGGCCAUAAUCCAACGUAAGCCUUUCCUGUCCUCUAUAUUUACUAGACUUCGCAUUGCCCUUGUUCACGUUCGCCUUAAUAAAAGCUAAAAGAGGUGCCAAAGAAUAGAUUUGUUGAAUACUUGACGCCUGUUUUUCUCGCCAUUAAAGCAUCAGCUCUGAUUAGGAGAAGCAUUAUAUCCCGUGGGAACCAGAGCCGGUGAUGGCAUUUGGUGGGGGAUUUCAAAUGCACAGAUGUGAUCUUUGGACAAUGGAAAAUCAAAUGAGCUGAAGUUGGACGAAACCAGAUGUAGAGCCUCCAAGUUCAACCAAAUACAUUGUAAAGAGGCAGUUGUGCUGCUGGGGUAAAGUGAUCCAAAAGUUAGACAUUUGAUGGUGAGUUAAAUAGGGCUUGCCCAGCCCACACAAUGCAUCAUCUUGAGGUUCACAUCUCUAUCUCCCCAAGACGAAGAAAUCAUCUCAGCACAAGUGUUUUAAUGGGAUGUAAAAAGGAUGAUCAUCUGUCAGAGCCUUAGAGAUGCAGCAUCUGAAUGGGCUCAGGUUUUGGAGGGUGCUCACACCAAAGGCUCAUGCACUCUCCACUUGUCAUUUCCCUUAGAGGUAUGCAAUUUGACGGAAAAGAUUGAUACUAACCUCCAACUUUUAAACCAGAAAGACAGUGUUUUCCUAGUGGAGUCCAAACCCCUUUGUUUGUAUGAAUGUUCUGGGGAACCAACUUUGCUUUAAGGGGAUCACUUAUUAAGCCUAGGAUUGGAACAAACAUUUUGAGGAAUCUGUCAGCCAGUGCUUUAUGAACUGCUCCCUGCUCCAUUGUAGAGUACAGCUCUCUCGAGAACCAACUCUGAGGUUCCAGCACGAAUUGUCUCACUUGACAUGAACUGUAAAACCAUUGGCACCACCUUACCUUUUCUAUCAUAAUGCCUAUGAAUAAAACCCCGUAAUCCUC
Gorilla gorilla gorilla (western lowland gorilla) is the source of this 2736-nucleotide long non-coding RNA. RefSeq lists it as uncharacterized. NCBI's taxonomy places the organism in Eukaryota, Metazoa, Chordata, Mammalia, Primates, Hominidae. The transcript is spliced from 4 exons. The record is from RefSeq and is a predicted model, not a curated record.